UACGUAGGUGGCAAGCGUUGUCCGGAUUUACUGGGCGUAAAGAGCGCGCAGGCGGUCGUUCAAGUCGCGUGUGAAAGCCCCCGGCUCAACUGGGGAGGGUCACGCGAUACUGAUCGACUCGAAGGCAGGAGAGAGUAGUGGAAUUCCCGGUGUAGUGGUGAAAUGCGUAGAUAUCGGGAGGAACACCAGUGGCGAAGGCGACUACCUGGCCUGUUCUUGACGCUGAGGCGCGAAAGCUAGGGGAGCAAACGGG
RNAcentral lists this ribosomal RNA (253 nucleotides) under uncultured bacterium. RNAcentral describes it as "partial 16S ribosomal RNA". It matches the Rfam family "Bacterial small subunit ribosomal RNA", at positions 524 to 776 of the family's 1533-position model. The record is from RNAcentral.